ACUCCUACGGGAGGCAGCAGUGGGGAAUUUUGGACAAUGGGGGCGAACCCUGAUCCAGCAAUGCCGCGUGAGUGAAGAAGGCCCUCCGGGUUGUAAAGCUCUUUUGUUCAGGGAAGAAACGGUGAUCUCUAAUAUAGAUUGCUAAUGACGGUACCUGAAGAAUAAGCACCGGCUAACUACGUGCCAGCAGCCGCGGUAAUACGUAGGGGUGCAAGCGUUAAUCGGAAUUACUGGGCGUAAAGCGUGCGCAGGCGGUUUUGUAAGUCUGAUGUGAAAUCCCCGGGGCUCAACCUGGGGAACUGCAUUGGAGACUGCAAGGCUAGAGUGUGUCAGAGGGGGUAGAAUUCCACGUGUAGCAGUGAAAUGCGUAGAGAUGUGGAGGAAUACCGAUGGCGAAGGCAGCCCCCCUGGGAUAACACUGACGCUCAUGCACGAAAGCGUGGGGAGCAAACAGGAUUAGAUACCCUGGUAGCGACUGA
RNAcentral lists this ribosomal RNA (479 nucleotides) under uncultured bacterium. RNAcentral's name for it is "bacterial SSU rRNA". It matches the Rfam family "Bacterial small subunit ribosomal RNA", at positions 335 to 798 of the family's 1533-position model. The record is from RNAcentral.